AAGGAGCAAUUUAUCAAAGUCCGAUCUCGUCUGAUCUCUGGAUCUAAGCAGAGCUGGGUCUGGUUAGGACUUGGAUGGGAGAUCGUUGGGAUUAUUGGAGUCCAUA
This 106-nucleotide ribosomal RNA is filed under the name Periophthalmus magnuspinnatus. The record is from RNAcentral. Lineage: Eukaryota; Metazoa; Chordata; Actinopteri; Gobiiformes; Gobiidae.